UUAAAAAAAAUAUUAACUCAACUUGGUGGGGUGCGCCAGGCCAAAGUAGUAGUGCAACGCAACGGUGACGCUUGAAAGCCCAGGUAGCAAGCUACCUUGAUGGGCUUUCCCCCUAAAAAAAUUAAGUUAAUAUCGUGUGG
This is a long non-coding RNA of Ipomoea nil (Japanese morning glory), 140 nucleotides long. RefSeq lists it as uncharacterized. Lineage: Eukaryota; Viridiplantae; Streptophyta; Magnoliopsida; Solanales; Convolvulaceae. The record is from RefSeq and is a predicted model, not a curated record. The transcript has 3 exons.